This is a long non-coding RNA of Sinocyclocheilus rhinocerous, 348 nucleotides long. RefSeq lists it as uncharacterized. The record is from RefSeq and is a predicted model, not a curated record. Lineage: Eukaryota; Metazoa; Chordata; Actinopteri; Cypriniformes; Cyprinidae. The transcript is spliced from 3 exons.
UUCUGGUUUAUUAAUUGUUAUUUCUGUAGAGUCUUCAGUCACUCUCAGCUCCUCCUGAAUCUACAGAAAGCAUCUCUGUCAGUUUCCUCUUUUCUUUUGAUGGUGUGAGAGAAUCUGUCUGUCAGCUGAGACACAAACUGGAGGAUUUCUGCAAAGAGGAGAUGAAAAAGAUAUCUGUCACUCACAGUAACAUUGUUCCCAGGACCAGAGAGCACUUCCUACAAUAUUCCCAUCAGUUCACUCUGGAUCCAAACACUGCACAUAAACUCCUCAUUUUUUCUGAUUGGGAGGAAGAGGUGGCUUUCAGUAACAACCGUAUCCAGCCGUAUCCUGAUCACCCAGACAGAU